This 367-nucleotide ribosomal RNA is filed under the name uncultured organism. Its description in RNAcentral is "bacterial LSU rRNA". It matches the Rfam family "Bacterial large subunit ribosomal RNA", at positions 2099 to 2465 of the family's 2925-position model. The record is from RNAcentral.
CUUUACUGCAGCUUCGCCUUGGCGUUAGCGGCAACAUGUGUAGGAUAGGUGGGAGGCUAUGAAACCGGGGCGCCAGUUCCGGCGGAGCCAUCCUUGAAAUACCACCCUUGUUGUCGCUGACGUCUAACCGCGGCCCGUUAUCCGGGUCCGGGACAUGGCGUGGCGGGCAGUUUGACUGGGGCGGUCGCCUCCCAAAGUGUAACGGAGGCGCGCGAUGGUGGGCUCAGAGCGGUCGGAAAUCGCUCGUCGAGUGCAAUGGCAUAAGCCCGCCUGACUGCGAGACUGACAAGUCGAGCAGAGACGAAAGUCGGCCAUAGUGAUCCGGUGGUUCUGCGUGGAAGGGCCAUCGCUCAACGAAUAAAAGGUA